UCUAAUAUGGCAGACUAGUGCAAUGAAUUUAAGCUUCAUUAAUAAAGUAAAUACUUUUUUUAGAA
This 65-nucleotide transfer RNA is filed under the name Corynocera ambigua. RNAcentral's name for it is "tRNA-Leu". The record is from RNAcentral. Lineage: Eukaryota; Metazoa; Arthropoda; Insecta; Diptera; Chironomidae.